UAUACGUGGCCCUGUGGGGAGACACAUACACAAAGCUCAGACUCUGGCACACGGUAGGCCCUCAGAGGCUUGGGACACAGCACAGUGCUGCUUUAAAGAGCACAAGCUUUGGAAUCAGAUGGAUUUCCAUGCUUAAACCCUGAGCUGGUUACCUGACCAUAGCCUGUUGCUUAAUCUGAGCCUCAGUUUCCUCAUCUAUCAAAUGGGAAUAAAAGAUCACCCUGAGAGCCUGAAAUAUUUACAGUCUGUUCUGGCCCUGUACAAAGCUGAUGACUGCUGGGAUAGGGUAUCAUCACCGAACUGUUCCCUGCUAAGGGACUGAGCCAGUGCCAGAAGCGCACAGUCAAGGAAAGACAACAGCUGUACACUUUAAACCCACAGAGGUGGCACAGCUGGGACCAGUAGAGACACUCAACACGAGGGUCAUCUUCCACCAGAAGCAAAUGGCCUCCAGUUCCCUAACUGGAAAAAUGACUUCUCCCAGCAGGCCCAAGCACUUUACUCCAGUUAUCAUAUUCAAGGAACAGCCUUAUGAUGGUGACCCCACCAAAGCAUCAGAAUCGC
Lemur catta (Ring-tailed lemur) is the source of this 564-nucleotide long non-coding RNA. RefSeq lists it as uncharacterized. The transcript is spliced from 4 exons. The record is from RefSeq and is a predicted model, not a curated record. NCBI's taxonomy places the organism in Eukaryota, Metazoa, Chordata, Mammalia, Primates, Lemuridae.